AAAUAAGCAUAUCAAUAAGCGGGAGGAAWAGAAACCAACAGGGAUUGCUCUAGUAACGGCGAGUGAAGCAGCAAUAGCUCAAAUUUGAAAUCUGGCGUCUUCGGCGUCCGAGUUGUAAUUUGUAGAGGAUGCUUCUGGGCAGCCACCGACCUAAGUUCCUUGGAACAGGACGUCAUAGAGGGUGAGAAUCCCGUAUGCGGUCGGAAAGGCACCCUACACGUAGCUCCUUCGACGAGUCGAGUUGUUUGGGAAUGCAGCUCUAAAUGGGAGGUAAAUUUCUUCUAAAGCUAAAUAUUGGCCAGAGACCGAUAGCGCACAAGUAGAGUGAUCGAAAGAUGAAAAGCACUUUGGAAAGAGAGUUAAAAAGCACGUGAAAUUGUUGAAAGGGAAGGGAUUGCAACCAGACUUGCUCGCGGUGUUCCGCCGGUCUUCUGACCGGUCUACUCGCCGCGUUGCAGGCCAGCAUCGUCUGGUGCCGCUGGAUAAGACUGGAGGAAUGUAGCUCCCUCGGGAGUGUUAUAGCCUCUAGUGAUGCAGCGAGCGCCGGGCGAGGUCCGCGCUUCGGCUAGGAUGCUGGCGUAAUGGUCGUAAUCCGCCCGUCUUGAAACACGGACCAAGGAGUCUAACAUCUAUGCGAGUGUUCGGGUGUCAAACCCCUACGCGUAAUGAAAGUGAACGGAGGUGAGAACCGCAAGGUGCAUCAUCGACCGAUCCUGAUGUCUUCGGAUGGAUUUGAGUAUGAGCAUAGCUGUUGGGACCCGAAAGAUGGUGAACUAUGCCUGAAUAGGGUGAAGCCAGAGGAAACUCUGGUGGAGGCUCGCAGCGGUUCUGACGUGCAAAUCGAUCGUCAAAUUUGGGUAUAGGGGCGAAAGACUAAUCGAACCAUCUAGURGCCUGGUUCCUGCCGAUUU
RNAcentral lists this ribosomal RNA (911 nucleotides) under Cladosporium entadae. RNAcentral describes it as "partial large subunit ribosomal RNA". It matches the Rfam family "Eukaryotic large subunit ribosomal RNA", at positions 32 to 967 of the family's 3401-position model. The record is from RNAcentral. Lineage: Eukaryota; Fungi; Ascomycota; Dothideomycetes; Cladosporiales; Cladosporiaceae.